AUUGAACGCUGGCGGCAUGCUUUACACAUGCAAGUCGAACGGCAGCGCGGGCUUCGGCCUGGCGGCGAGUGGCGAACGGGUGAGUAAAACAUCGGAACGUGCCCAGUAGUGGGGGAUAGCUCGGCGAAAGCCGGAUUAAUACCGCAUACGACCUGAGGGUGAAAGCGGGGGAUCUUCGGACCUCGCGCUAUUGGAGCGGCCGAUGGCAGAUUAGCUAGUUGGUGGGGUAAAGGCCUACCAAGGCGACGAUCUGUAGCUGGUCUGAGAGGACGACCAGCCACACUGGGACUGAGACACGGCCCAGACUCCUACGGGAGGCAGCAGUGGGGAAUUUUGGACAAUGGGCGAAAGCCUGAUCCAGCAAUGCCGCGUGUGUGAUGAAGGCCUUCGGGUUGUAAAGCACUUUUGGCGGGAACGAAAAGGACUGUGCCAAUACCACGGUUCGAUGACGGUACCCGCAGAAUAAGCACCGGCUAACUACGUG
Molecule: ribosomal RNA, 484 nt
Filed under: uncultured bacterium
Lineage: Bacteria
Description: partial 16S ribosomal RNA
Rfam family: Bacterial small subunit ribosomal RNA
Source: RNAcentral